UUCUUUUCCUUGUUUCUUUCCUUAUCUAUUUCCCUUUAUGGGUUGGAUAAUUAGCUACAUUGCAGAUACACAAUGUGUAUACAUAAAAUCACCAAGAAUGGAAAUGCAAUGGGCUAUACUUAUCUAGCUGAAGAUUGGACUUUUCCAAUGUCAUAUCCUCCUCACCAGUCACAAAACUGCUGUACUUUAAUAACUAUUUGGUUUAUGAAGGGAUGUGUUUUGAGAGCAUUUUCCCAAUUUUCAGUGAAUUAAUAGGCCCAGGUGGUCUGGUGCUCUGUUGGAUGGAUGUUUCUAUUUUGGUGGAAAGUUAUUUUUUCAUAAAUUCACUCUCAUGCACAUAUAAAUGUGAAUAAUAAGCCUUGUUAUUCCUAUGACAAUAGAGCAGCGGACCCCUGCUGGGGGUGGGGAGGGUAAACAAAGCAUAAGUUAGGCGCCAUCUUGGAUUUGUGUUUUUUUCCUCCUAGGUAAAAAGAUUGACUUCAAAUUUUUCCCAUUCUAAUGAAUAUAGCCUUAACUCUCAGAGGAUAGGAGGGAGCAAAUAUCUUUCUGCCAUUAAUGUGAAGAAAGGGGCCGGGCGCGGCGGCUCACGCCUGUAAUCCCAGCACUUUGGGAGGCCGAGGUCAGGAGCUGAAGAGCAACCCCGCCAACGUGGCGAAACCCUGUCUCUGCAAAAAUACAAAAAUUAACCGGGCAUGAUGGCGGGUGCCUGUAAUCCCAGCUACUCAGGAGGCUGAGGCAAGAGACUUGCUGGAACCCGGGAACGGAGGUUGCAGUGAGCCGAGAUCAUGCCAUUGCAUUCCAGCCUGGGUGAAAGAGGAGACUACGUCUCAAAGAAAAAAAAAUGAAGAAAAGGUGUACACACCGAGACUGCACAACUUAAACCUCGAAACUGGAUUGGAUACCGACUUCCUCCUUUUAUAUCUCACAUUGAUUUUCACAGGUAAUUUCUUUUUAUCAUAGCGAUUGUUGAAGACCCAACUUUGCAAAGAUACAACGUCACCUAAGGAAUACAGUACAAUUAAAUGUUAAGACUCUGAAUUCCUCAAUCUAGCAGUUUGUACAAAGUUCAACAGAUAUGAAGUAUUGCUUUGCUUUUCUAAAAAUUUUUAAAUAUUCCACAGGGCUUUUAUGAGUUUGCUACUACACGAUGGGGUGUGUAAAGGCAAAUGCAAAUUAAAAAUAAAAGGUUUAAUUCUUCCUGUUGAAAAUAAGCCUGCUUCAUCCAAUCAGCUGAAUGCUAUAAGAACAAAGAGUGAAGUUUCCUGCAGAAAAAGAAAUUUUGCUUCAAGACUGCCACAAAGAAACCCUGCUAGAAUUUCUCGCCUGCUGGUCUGGCCUACAGAUUUUGGAUUUGCCAGACCAUCACAAGCACCACUGAAACUUUAUUUAUAACACCAAGAACAAUGUCAAAGAAGCAUUGUCCUUUGUUUUCUUCUUGGAUUUCAGGU
Molecule: long non-coding RNA, 1448 nt
Filed under: Homo sapiens (human)
Lineage: Eukaryota; Metazoa; Chordata; Mammalia; Primates; Hominidae
Description: HSALNT0092198
Source: RNAcentral